This 497-nucleotide ribosomal RNA is filed under the name uncultured bacterium. RNAcentral's name for it is "partial 16S ribosomal RNA". It matches the Rfam family "Bacterial small subunit ribosomal RNA", at positions 28 to 507 of the family's 1533-position model. The record is from RNAcentral.
GAUGAACGCUGGCGGCGUGCCUAAUACAUGCAAGUCGAGCGAACGGACGAGAAGCUUGCUUCUCUGAUGUUAGCGGCGGACGGGUGAGUAACACGUGGAUAACCUACCUAUAAGACUGGGAUAACUUCGGGAAACCGGGGCUAAUACCGGAUAAUAUUUUGAACCGCAUGGUUCAAAAGUGAAAGACGGUCUUGCUGUCACUUAUAGAUGGAUCCGCGCUGCAUUAGCUAGUUGGUAAGGUAACGGCUUACCAAGGCAACGAUGCAUAGCCGACCUGAGAGGGGGGUCGGCCACACUGGAACUGAGACACGGUCCAGACUCCUACGGGAGGCAGCAGUAGGGAAUCGUCCGCAAUGGGCGAAAGCCUGACGGAGCAACGCCGCGUGAGUGAUGAAGGUCUUCGGAUCGUAAAACUCUGUUAUUAGGGAAGAACAUAUGUGUAAGUAACUGUGCACAUCUUGACGGUACCUAAUCAGAAAGCCACGGCUAACUACGUG